This 613-nucleotide ribosomal RNA is filed under the name uncultured bacterium. RNAcentral describes it as "bacterial SSU rRNA". The stretch from base 1 to 519 matches the Rfam family "Bacterial small subunit ribosomal RNA", at positions 338 to 873 of the family's 1533-position model. The record is from RNAcentral.
CCUACGGGAGGCAGCAGUGGGGAAUCUUGCGCAAUGGGCGAAAGCCUGACGCAGCCAUGCCGCGUGAAUGAUGAAGGUCUUAGGAUUGUAAAAUUCUUUCACCGGGGACGAUAAUGACGGUACCCGGAGAAGAAGCCCCGGCUAACUUCGUGCCAGCAGCCGCGGUAAUACGAAGGGGGCUAGCGUUGCUCGGAAUUACUGGGCGUAAAGGGAGCGUAGGCGGAUAGUUUAGUCAGAGGUGAAAGCCCAGGGCUCAACCUUGGAAUUGCCUUUGAUACUGGCUAUCUUGAGUGUGGGAGAGGUUAGCGGAACUCCGAGUGUAGAGGUGAAAUUCGUAGAUAUUCGGAAGAACACCAGUGGCGAAGGCGGCUAACUGGCCCAUUACUGACGCUGAGGCUCGAAAGCGUGGGGAGCAAACAGGAUUAGAUACCCUGGUAGUCCACGCCGUAAACGAUGAGUGCUAGUUGUCGGCAUGCAUGCAUGUCGGUGGACGCAGCUACGACAUUAAGACACUCCGCCGUCGGGGAGGUACGGUCGGCGAAGAAGUUAAAACGUUAAAGGUAAAGUUAGUUACGGCGUGAGACGUGCCGACGGACGACGACGAGGGAGGAGG